RNAcentral lists this ribosomal RNA (495 nucleotides) under uncultured bacterium. Its description in RNAcentral is "partial 16S ribosomal RNA". It matches the Rfam family "Bacterial small subunit ribosomal RNA", at positions 28 to 507 of the family's 1533-position model. The record is from RNAcentral.
GACGAACGCUGGCGGCGUGCCUAAUACAUGCAAGUCGAACGCUGAAGGAGGAGCUUGCUCUUCUGGAUGAGUUGCGAACGGGUGAGUAACGCGUAGGUAACCUGCCUGGUAGCGGGGGAUAACUAUUGGAAACGAUAGCUAAUACCGCAUAACAGUAGAUGUUGCAUGACAUUUACUUAAAAGGUGCAAUUGCAUCACUACCAGAUGGACCUGCGUUGUAUUAGCUAGUUGGUGGGGUAACGGCUCACCAAGGCGACGAUACAUAGCCGACCUGAGAGGGUGAUCGGCCACACUGGGACUGAGACACGGCCCAGACUCCUACGGGAGGCAGCAGUAGGGAAUCCUCGGCAAUGGACGGAAGUCUGACCGAGCAACGCCGCGUGAGUGAAGAAGGUUUUCGGAUCGUAAAGCUCUGUUGUAAGAGAAGAACGAGUGUGAGAGUGGAAAGUUCACACUGUGACGGUAGCUUACCAGAAAGGGACGGCUAACUACGUG